AUUGAACGCUGGCGGCAUGCUUUACACAUGCAAGUCGAACGGUAACAGCACUUCGGUGGCUGACGAGUGGCGAACGGGUGAGUAAUACAUCGGAACGUGCCUAGUAGUGGGGGAUAACUACUCGAAAGAGUAGCUAAUACCGCAUGAGAUCUAAGGAUGAAAGCAGGGGACCUUCGGGCCUUGCGCUACUAGAGCGGCUGAUGGCAGAUUAGGUAGUUGGUGGGAUAAAAGCUUACCAAGCCGACGAUCUGUAGCUGGUCUGAGAGGACGACCAGCCACACUGGGACUGAGACACGGCCCAGACUCCUACGGGAGGCAGCAGUGGGGAAUUUUGGACAAUGGGCGCAAGCCUGAUCCAGCAAUGCCGCGUGCAGGAUGAGGGCCUUCGGGUUGUAAACUGCUUUUGUACGGAACGAAAAGCCCUCUUCUAAUACAGGAGGGUCAUGACGGUACCGUAAGAAUAAGCACCGGCUAACUACGUG
Molecule: ribosomal RNA, 482 nt
Filed under: uncultured bacterium
Lineage: Bacteria
Description: partial 16S ribosomal RNA
Rfam family: Bacterial small subunit ribosomal RNA
Source: RNAcentral